This 379-nucleotide ribosomal RNA is filed under the name uncultured Cylindrospermum sp. Its description in RNAcentral is "bacterial SSU rRNA". It matches the Rfam family "Bacterial small subunit ribosomal RNA", at positions 376 to 770 of the family's 1533-position model. The record is from RNAcentral. Lineage: Bacteria; Bacillati; Cyanobacteriota; Cyanophyceae; Nostocales; Nostocaceae.
CGAAAGCCUGACGGAGCAAGACCGCGUGAGGGAGGAAGGCUCUUGGGUUGUAAACCUCUUUUCUCUGGGAAGAAGAUCUGACGGUACCAGAGGAAUCAGCAUCGGCUAACUCCGUGCCAGCAGCCGCGGUAAUACGGAGGAUGCAAGCGUUAUCCGGAAUUAUUGGGCGUAAAGCGUCCGUAGGUGGCAAUUCAAGUCUGCUGUCAAAGCGCAAGGCUUAACCUUGUAAAGGCAGUGGAAACUACAGAGCUAGAGUGCGUUCGGGGCAGAAGGAAUUCCCGGUGUAGCGGUGAAAUGCGUAGAUAUCAGGAAGAACACCGGUGGCGAAAGCGCUCUGCUGGGCCGUAACUGACACUCAUGGACGAAAGCUAGGGGAGCG